AGUUUGGUCAAAGCUUCCAAAGGAAGCUUUGACUCUGAUUUUUUCAGCCCAAAACAGUUCUUAUCUCCUCCAGCAAGAUUUUUUCCUCUUCUCUUCCAUGCUCCACACCAUUCUUGAAGCUUCCAUGCCAUUUUCUCUUUGUCCGCCAUGAAACCAAGUUUUCUUCAUUUUUCCUUUACAUGUUUUCUUUUCCUUUCUUCUCCAAAAUUCUUGAGCACUAAAUUUACAGCCUUUAACCCCAAUUUCCAGCACAUCUAAACCCUAGGAGGAGAAGAAAGAAAAAGAGAGAAAGGAAGAAAAAGCUUGGUUUUGGUGAUUCAAGCAAGGAACGGAAGUGCAAAGAUAAGGUUACAGUACUGUGGUGGCAUGCCGAAGUAAAUAACGAGCGAUCGGUCAGUGAAAAUAGUUAUAGACACCUCCGAUCAAAUAGCGGUGUAAUAUCCCGCUAUAGUAAGGUUUUCUGAGUUAAAGGCGAUUGGAUCCUAGGAUGAGGUGCUCCUCCUUAUACAUUGCUCUGUAGGUUAACGUGCCACUAAGUGUUAUCAAUCGUGCCUAGAGUCACUCCGCUAACGGUCGAGGUCUAAUUAUGUGUAUAUGGAUAUUUGAUGUGAAACAUUAAGGUUCAUUUGUUAUUCUAUAUAUGUAUAUAAUGGUUAAUGA
Molecule: non-coding RNA, 660 nt
Organism: Theobroma cacao (cacao)
Lineage: Eukaryota; Viridiplantae; Streptophyta; Magnoliopsida; Malvales; Malvaceae
Source: RefSeq, a predicted model, not a curated record